Molecule: long non-coding RNA, 1156 nt
Organism: Hypanus sabinus (Atlantic stingray)
Lineage: Eukaryota; Metazoa; Chordata; Chondrichthyes; Myliobatiformes; Dasyatidae
Exons: 2
Source: RefSeq, a predicted model, not a curated record
CAAAAGUUUCUUCAGAGUAAAAGAGAGAUGAGAGUGGAUAUUGGAACAAAGAAAAACAAAGCUGGACAGAUAGUAAUUGGGGACAAAGAAAUGGAUGAACUGAAUAAGUAUUUUGUUUCAGUCUUCACUGUGGAAGAUAAUAGCAGUGUGCCAGAAAUUCAAUAAUGACAAGGGGCAGAAGUGAGUGGAGCUGCUAUUACUAAGGAGAAAGUGCUUGGGAAGUUGAGUGGUCUGAAGGUAGAUAAGUCACCUGGACCAGAUGGACCACAUCCCAGGGUUCUGAAAGAGGUGGCUGAAGAGAUUGUGCAGGUAUUAGUAAUGAUAUUUCAAGAAUCACUAGAUUCUGGAAUAUUUCCAAAAGACAGGAAAAUUGGAAACGUCACUCUGCUCUUUAAGAAGGGAGCGAGGCAAAAGACGGGAAAUGAAAGGGCAGUUAGCCUGACUACAGUGGUUUGGAAGAUGUUGGAAUUCAUUGUUAAGGAUGAGGUUUUAGAGAAGUUGGAGGUGCAUGAUAAAAUAGGCUGAAGUCAGUGUGCUUUCCUCAAGGGAAAAUAAGUUAGCCAUGAUGGAAUGGCAGAGCAGACUCGAUGGGCCAAAUAGUCUAAUACUGCUCCUACGUCUUAUGUCUAAUGGUCUGAUUCUGAAAGCAAUAGAUGAUUGUUAUGAACGUCAGACUCAGCAGCUUCAGGGUACAACUCUUAAUAAGUAUUGUUUUGAAAGGGAGCUGACAAAAUACUGGAAAUGUUUUACCAGGGUGCUCAGAACUUUGGUUCUUUGGUCUCGGUAUUGUGAUGGCAUAAUUUGUUUUUGUUACAGGUUCAUGGACAUGUUAACAGUGAACUGAGGCGGUUCAAGGAUACAGACUGUUGUCAGGUUCUGGUGCCCACGGACCUGUUUGUGGUGAAUCACAGCGCAGCUGAGGAGAGGCAGUGCACUGAGGUCGAGUGGAGCAGACUCCCAUCUGGUAGCAGUGCUGCCUCACAUUGUCAGAGCCCGAUGAGGAGGAAGUUCUUCAUCCAAAGUUUGUGUCCACACUCUCGAGCAAGCAAUAAUGAGUAUUGUGAUGGACUUUACCAGUAGUAGGUCAUGAAAAUGAAGUUGGGCACAGUGGUCACCAGCUGCAGCGUCCUCCAGGCUGGUGCCAGGUAAGCAAUAG